AGUUCGUGGAUUGAUUUGUCUGGUUGAUUCCGUUAACGAGCGAGAUCUUAACCUGCUAAAUAGGUUCCCAAAGAUUCUUUUGAUGUAACCUUCUUAGAGGGACUUUGCGUGUUUAACGCAAGGAAGUUUGAGGCAAUAACAGGU
Molecule: ribosomal RNA, 144 nt
Filed under: uncultured eukaryote
Lineage: Eukaryota
Description: partial small subunit ribosomal RNA
Rfam family: Eukaryotic small subunit ribosomal RNA
Source: RNAcentral